GAGGCCAUCCGGGGGUAGCUUUUACACAUGCAAGUCGAACGGCAGCACGGACUUCGGUCUGGUGGCGAGUGGCGAACGGGUGAGUAAUUUAUCGGAACGUGCCUAGUAGCGGGGGAUAACUACGCGAAAGCGUAGCUAAUACCGCAUACGCCCUACGGGGGAAAGCAGGGGAUCGCAAGACCUUGCACUAUUAGAGCGGCCGAUAUCGGAUUAGCUAGUUGGUGGGGUAACGGCUCACCAAGGCGACGAUCCGUAGCUGGUUUGAGAGGACGACCAGCCACACUGGGACUGAGACACGGCCCAGACUCCUACGGGAGGCAGCAGUGGGGAAUUUUGGACAAUGGGGGAAACCCUGAUCCAGCCAUCCCGCGUGUGCGAUGAAGGCCUUCGGGUUGUAAAGCACUUUUGGCAGGAAAGAAACGUUCCGGGUUAAUACCCCGGGAAACUGACGGUACCUGCAGAUUAAGCACCGGAUAACUACGUGC
This 485-nucleotide ribosomal RNA is filed under the name Achromobacter xylosoxidans. RNAcentral describes it as "bacterial SSU rRNA". It matches the Rfam family "Bacterial small subunit ribosomal RNA", at positions 36 to 508 of the family's 1533-position model. Lineage: Bacteria; Pseudomonadati; Pseudomonadota; Betaproteobacteria; Burkholderiales; Alcaligenaceae. The record is from RNAcentral.